Taeniopygia guttata (zebra finch) is the source of this 595-nucleotide long non-coding RNA. RefSeq lists it as uncharacterized. The record is from RefSeq and is a predicted model, not a curated record. Lineage: Eukaryota; Metazoa; Chordata; Aves; Passeriformes; Estrildidae.
GGCGUCUCCGCUCCGGCCGCACGCUGCGGGCCGGGAGGCCCCGACGACGGCGGCGGUGGCUUUACUCCCGGCGGCGCGAUGGUGUCCCGGCUUCGCCCCCCCGGGCAAAGGGCAUCCUCGGGCGGUGCGUGUGCGGGGGCCGCCUGUGGGGUGGAAAAUGGCAGCUGCCCACCAGCACACCGCGGCAGUUCUCCUGGCCAGAGGUGUGAGGGAUGCGCUGGGGUGCUCAGGGGAUUGAAUGUCAUCUCUAAGACAACGUGUCACUUCAAUUGUCUUUCCUCAGAAGCCAGGUGAAAGGGGAGGAACGCCAUACCACCCUCAAAGGUCACUGGCUGUAGGUGAACUCCAAGCAUUCUCCUGAAGCCCACCAAGUUCAUCUUCUGGAGCUCAAAGGAAGGAAGAAACUCAGGCAUUGGCUUCCUCAGUUCAGUAACCGACAGAUGACCCUCAACUGGGUUUUGCCAUACCAAGCAUCUAUAUAACACUUUUUUUGUAAACUGGCCUUUUUACCAGCUAAUAUAAGACAUCAACAGUCUUACAUACCCAGUAAAAUGUACUACACAAUAUUAUUAAAGUCCCAUAUGUUUGUUCAGAA